RNAcentral lists this long non-coding RNA (685 nucleotides) under Anser brachyrhynchus (Pink-footed goose). RNAcentral's name for it is "lncRNA (ENSABRG00000019035.1)". Lineage: Eukaryota; Metazoa; Chordata; Aves; Anseriformes; Anatidae. The record is from RNAcentral.
GUGGCGGUGGUGCGGGGUGAGGGGACGCUCCCGGGGGGGUCAUGCUGGGGCUGGGGGUUGGUUAUAGAGAACUGGGGAAGGGCUGGGGGCUUGUACUGGGGGUUGGGGGUCAGGGUACAGGGGGCUGGGGGUUAAGGUAGAGGAGGCUAGGGGGAGGUGGGGAUUGGGGGGUCACAUUGUGGGCUGGGGGUCAGGGCAUGGAGGGCUGAGGUGGGCACUGAGGGGCAGCGAGGUGCCACGGGGGUGCAGGUGCUGAGGCACAGAGGAGAAUGCAGGGCCUGGGAGGCGGGCAGGGGCCAGGCCGCGGGGGUGGCACGAAGCAGCUUCUCCCUGAGCCUCGUGUGUCACAGGAUCUGCGCUGGGGGUCGCCUCCGGAGGAGCCACAGCCCUGCAGGCCUGAGUUGUGAGCAAAGGUCGCCGAGUCUGCGUGGGACGUCCGUGUCCCUCAGGUGUUCCUGCUCGCCACGGAGACUGCUGAGUCUGCGCCCUGCCCCAGGCCGAGAGCUGCCUGAUGGGGUCAGACUGCAGGUGGCUGAACUGAAGGUCUCUGCGUGACGGUGGGAGUGCUGCCCUUGCGGUUCCCUGUGGUUAUAUCUGCGUGGUCUCUAGGUUAUAGAAGGUAAUUUUGUCUAAGUAGAUGGUAAACAUUAAUAAAAUCCAGUUCUUCAAGCUGACUGUGUUUAAU